Molecule: ribosomal RNA, 441 nt
Filed under: uncultured bacterium
Lineage: Bacteria
Description: partial 16S ribosomal RNA
Rfam family: Bacterial small subunit ribosomal RNA
Source: RNAcentral
CCUACGGGUGGCAGCAGUGGGGGAUAUUGCACAAUGGGGGCAACCCUGAUGCAGCGACGCCGCGUGAGCGAUGGAGUACUUCGGUAUGUAAAGCUCUGUCAGCAGGGAAGAGAAUGACGGUACCUGACCAAGAAGCCCCGGCUAAAUACGUGCCAGCAGCCGCGGUAAUACGUAUGGGGCAAGCGUUGUUCGGAAUGACUGGGCGUAAAGGGUGUGUAGGCGGUGUAGCAAGUUAGAAGUGAAAUACCUAGAGCUUAACUCAGGUGCUGCUUCUAAAACUGCUAUACUUGAGUGCAGUAGAGGAAAGUGGAAUUCCUAGUGUAGCGGUGGAAUGCGUAGAUAUUAGGAGGAACAUCAGUGGCGAAGGCGACUUUCUGGACUGUAACUGACGCUGAGGCACGAAAGUGUGGGGAGCAAACAGGAUUAGAUACCCUGGUAGUC